CCCCUAGUAACGGCGAGUGAAGCGGGACGAGCUCAAAUUUGUAAUCUGGCGGCCUCUGGCCGUCCGAGUUGUAGUCUGGAGAAGCGUCUUCCGCGUCGGACCAUGUACAAGUCCCUUGGAACAGGGUGUCGUAGAGGGUGAGAAUCCCGUCUUUGACAUGGACCCCCGAUGCUUUGUGAUGCGCUCUCGAAGAGUCGAGUUGUUUGGGAAUGCAGCUCAAAACGGGUGGUAAAUUCCAUCUAAAGCUAAAUAUGGGCGAAAGACCGAUAGCGAACAAGUACCGUGAGGGAAAGAUGAAAAGCACUUUGAAAAGAGAGUUAAACAGUACGUGAAAUUGUUGAAAGGGAAACGCUUGAAGUCAGUCGCGUCUCUUGGGACUCAGCCCGGUUUUGGUCGGGCGUAUUUCCUGAGGUGACGGGUCAGCAUCGAUUUUGACCGUUGGAGAAAGGCCUAGGGAAUGUGGCACCCUUGGGUGUGUUAUAGCCUUUGGUCGUAUGCGACGGUUGGGAUCGAGGAUUGCAGCACGCCUUCUUGGCCGGGGUUCGCCCACGUUCGUGCUUAGGAUGCUGGCGUAAUGGCUUUAAGCGACCCGUCUUGAAACACGGACCAAGGAGUCUAACAUGCCUGCGAGUGUUUGGGUGGCAAACCCGGACGCGAAAUGAAAGUGAAAGGUUGGGACCUUCCUCGUGGAGGGCACCAACGCCCGGACCAGACCUUCUGUGACGGUUCCGAGGUAGAGCAUGCAUGCUGGGACCCGAAAGAUGGUGAACUAUGCUUGAGUAGGGUGAAGCCAGAGGAAACUCUGGUGGAGGCUCGUAGCGAUUCUGACGUGCAAAUCGAUCGUCGAACUUGAGUAUAGGGGCGAAAGACUAAUCGAACCAUCUAGUAGCUGG
Molecule: ribosomal RNA, 893 nt
Filed under: Gautieria sp. SN-2018a
Lineage: Eukaryota; Fungi; Basidiomycota; Agaricomycetes; Gomphales; Gomphaceae
Description: LSU rRNA
Rfam family: Eukaryotic large subunit ribosomal RNA
Source: RNAcentral